RNAcentral lists this ribosomal RNA (427 nucleotides) under uncultured bacterium. RNAcentral describes it as "bacterial SSU rRNA". It matches the Rfam family "Bacterial small subunit ribosomal RNA", at positions 355 to 775 of the family's 1533-position model. The record is from RNAcentral.
UCGGGAAUCUUCCGCAAUGGGCGAAAGCCUGACGGAGCGACGCCGCGUGAGUGAUGAAGGCCUUCGGGUUGUAAAGCUCUGUGGGGAGAGAAGAAUAAGUCUAGGCGAAUACCCUGGAUGAUGACGGUAUCUCCUUAGCAAGCACCGGCUAACUCUGUGCCAGCAGCCGCGGUAAGACAGAGGGUGCAAACGUUGUUCGGAUUUACUGGGCGUAAAGCGCGUGUAGGCGGCUUGGCAAGUUGGAUGUGAAAGCCCACGGCUCAACCGUGGAAGAGCAUCCAAAACUGCUUCGCUCGAGUCUCGGAGAGGAAGGUGGAAUGCUUGGUGUAGAGGUGAAAUUCGUAGAUAUCAAGCAGAACACCUGCGGCGAAGGCGGCCUUCUGGACGAUGACUGACGCUGAGACGCGAAAGCGUGGGGAGCAAACAG